RNAcentral lists this ribosomal RNA (483 nucleotides) under uncultured bacterium. RNAcentral describes it as "partial 16S ribosomal RNA". It matches the Rfam family "Bacterial small subunit ribosomal RNA", at positions 28 to 507 of the family's 1533-position model. The record is from RNAcentral.
GAUGAACGCUGGCGGCGUGCCUAACACAUGCAAGUCGAACGAAGCUUGACGGAUGAUUUCUUCGGAAUGAAACCAGAUAUGACCUAGUGGCGGACGGGUGAGUAACACGUGAGCAACCUGCCUUUCAGAGGGGGAUAACGGCUGGAAACGGUCGCUAAUACCGCAUGAUGUGUUCGGAUGGCAUCAUCUGAACAUCAAAGAUUUAUCGCUGAAAGAUGGGCUCGCGUCUGAUUAGAAAGUUGGUGGGGUAACGGCCUACCAAGUCUACGAUCAGUAGCCGGACUGAGAGGUUGAACGGCCACAUUGGGACUGGGAUACGGCCCAGACUCCUACGGGAGGCAGCAGUGGGGAAUAUUGCACAAUGGGGGAAACCCUGAUGCAGCAACGCCGCGUGAAGGAUGACGGUUUUCGGAUUGUAAACUCCUUUUCUUAGUGACGAAGACAGUGACGGUAGCUAAGGAAUAAGCAUCGGCUAACUACGUG